GAUUAUUUUGUUUAUAAUUUAAUAAUAUAUCUUAUGUAGCCCUAUGUAUUCAAAAUAUUAUGUUAACAUGUAAUCCAUGUUUCUUUUUCAAAUCUAAAGUUAAAAAAAUAGCAGAAGCCAGUGUCUUAAAGUCUGUCUUUUAUUUUUGUUUCUAAGACCAUGGGAUUUCAAAAUCUCAAGAUAAAAUAUGUAUGAAGUAAUUAAUGUAGAAUUUUUACAUCGAAUAAUAAAUAAUGCUCAAUAAACUAGAGAUAUGAGAUGUGUAGGAAAUUUGGUUAAACUUUUUUCAGAUACUUUCUGGCCCAAAUAAUAAUUUGUUAGCAAAUAAUAUGACCCUUGAACUCAAUGGCCAUCUAUUAAAAGACUGUUGUUCACACUGGAAAACAUUUAAAGAUGUAACUAUAUCCAUAGGUGGAUUGAUUGAAUCACUCAAAAUAUAUUAGUAUCCUUCUUUAGGGAUGGUUGGUUGCAGACAUGUGUUUAUUCAGGAGGCAGAAAAUAUUCCAUUUUAAUUGCUUAUUAAAGAAAACAUUAAAUUCUAAAUUAUUUUGAGGACUGUGGAGACUUUUCAUUAGUAUAAUAUUAGGUCAUUGUCAAUCUCCCAGAAUGUAGUUCUGUAUUCUCUAAAUAUGAAAGUAUCCAGAAAGGCCAGUGGUAGUAAAAAGCUUAGUGUAUAUAAUCUCAAAAAGGAUAGAAUAUUUACAACUCAUAUUUAUAACAUGUUGAAUCUUAUCAGUUAUCAGUAGUCAUCAGAAGUAUCAAUAGCUUUCUAAAUAAAUAUUAAAUAUCUACUGUGCUGUAGUUGAAGGAGUAAUUUUUAGUAAUUUUCUCUUUACAAAGUCUCCAGUGUUUCAAGGUAAAUGUUUGUGAAACAAAAUAUCACAAACUACAUUAAGUUACUGCAGUGUAUUGUUGCCAAAAAUGACAAGAUAUUAUAUUAAAAUCAGUAAAUUUUAGACAAAUUUUUAAAAUUAAUUAGCCUACAAUAGAGGUAUAUAUGGUAACACGGUGAUCUUCUAAGCAGUUGAGUGAGUGACUGUUCUGGCAACAACGACUUCUCUGUGACUAAAGGGCCCUGUUCAUUUCCUGAUCCUGAAGCUCGUCUCCCUUUUGAGUCUUGGCUUGCUUUGGUCGAUGGUUUCCCUCAGCUUUUUCUUCGCUGUUCUUCAUCCUCGUUGUUGCUGUCAUCAUGUUCACUGUGGCUUUUACAAUACAGCCUGUAAAUUCCUUAUGACAUAGUUCAGUGCAUUUGGCUUUAUCGCCUACUCCACAGUUCUUUACCUUGACUUGGCUUAGAGAAACCAUAUCUUUGUUGCUUCAUGUAACCUUUCCCCAACCCCACUAAGCUGGACAUAACUUAUUAGUGGUCCUCCAGUCACUUUAUUUGUAGAAAUCUCCUUUUCACUUCAGCAGGGGUUCUUUCAUAUGGUCUAGCUGACAGCAGAACUAGUGAUUCUAGACAUUUUGCAUGGCCCUCAUUCAGUGGCUCACAAACAUGAGGGAGCAUCAGAACUACUUGAGGGGCUUGUUAAAACCCAGUGCGUUAGAGGCCGGAUGAGGUGGCUCACGCCUGUAAUCCCAGCACUUUGGGAGGCUGAGGCAGGCGGAUCACUCGAGGUUAGGAGUUCAAGACCAGCCUGGCCAACAUGGUGAAACCCCAUCUCUACUAAAAAUACAAAAGUUAGCCAGGUGUGGUGGUGCAUGCCUGUAAUCCCAGCUUCUCGGGAGGCCAAGGCACAAGAAUCGCUUGAACCAGGAGACGGAGGUUUCAGUGAACGAAGAUCGUGCCAUUGUAUUCCAGCCUCGGCGACACAGCGAGACUGUGAUUUUCUUUGGAGACUCCUAGAUUUUCUGUGGUUUUGAACUGAGUUUGUUGGAUGUUGACAAGUUCCUCUUAUGAGCUGUUUCUUUAUCCUGCAUUUGCCCCACGAAGACUUACCUGGAGGUGAGCAAAGUAUGUUUGGUAGUGAGGUCACAAAGGCAAUCAGCCCCUUCCUCCCCACUCCCAUUGCCAUCUUCUCAGUCCUUCUCCCUUUCUUUCCAAGUAGUUUACCCACCCCUCCUCUUUCCUCCCCUGUCCCUAAAAUAAUCCACGUGUCUUCCUAAAAUCUCUCUUUGAUCCUGUCCUUUGAUAACACCGUCAGUGCCUACUACUGGGUCUAGACAGACCUCUGUUGAGCAGUCAGAGUCUUCCCUGACUCCACAAUGCCCCUUUCCUUGGCUGACCAGUAUGACUACUGGUCCCCACCUUUCCCUUGCCUAUCCCUACCUCCCUCCUACUAGGUUGUCCCAUCCCUCUCUUCACCCAUUCAUUCAUGACCAUUUUUCACUACCAAGCUCCCCCCGCCCCUCCCGAAGGAGGCUGAGGUUUUUGUGACUCUCUAGACUCUAUUGUGGGAUGGAAUGAACAUUGCUAAAGAAUCUCGUGUUCGCUUUACUUUAAAAAGGUAUUUUUUUCCUAAUUAUAAAACUGAUGUGUCAGUUAUGGAAAAAUUAGAAAUGCAGCACAAAUACAUGAAUAUUUUACCACAAAAUUGCCAUAUAAUAUCUUGUCUUUUUUGGGGGUGUGAAUUUUUUGCAUUGUUCUGAUCAUAUUGUGUUCUUUAUCAUGUAAUUUAUGUUCUCUUUUACUAAAUAUUAUGUGUGGUUAUUAUAGAUUUUCACAAAGAUACUUUAUAUUGCUGGUAAUAUAUUUUAUUGUGUAGUCUUAUAAUUUACUUAACCUUCUUUCAAUUGUUAGAAAUUUAGGUUAUUUCCAGAUUUUCAGUAUUGUAAAUAAUGCUGUGAUGACCAAUUUUGUGAAUAAAAUGUUUUUAU
Long non-coding RNA from Pongo abelii (Sumatran orangutan), 2817 nucleotides. The record is from Ensembl. Lineage: Eukaryota; Metazoa; Chordata; Mammalia; Primates; Hominidae.